UUUGUUGGAACGUUAAAUCUUUUGGCAGUGUAAGAGAGAAGUCCUUCGGAGCUGGAAUCGUUCGCCACGACAAACGUAAAAUUAAUAGCCGUCCUUUACUGCGCGGCCCUAUAGUCAGGCAUAGGCUGGUGGGGGACCAUAAAUUUCAGCACACAGAUUCAAAAUGAUCCCCUUUAUUGCCCGAAACCCGGGUUAGUUCUACCUCGACCUGGACCCCGUGCAGUCGGUCCAUCGACUCUCGAGUCUCGUUUCUUUCGUAGCCGUAGAUUUCCUUGCUUUCUCUUGGCUCAACCAAACUCGCCGUUAAUCGUGAGUCGUUGCUCCCGUCGCACCGUGCGAAUCGCCCUUAGAUUGCUCGGUGUCGCCGCCAGACGUGAAUGCAACAACGUGGGUGUCGAAUGGAUCCUUGCACCUUUUCCAUUAUCAAAGCCACUCCCUUUUGAUCGUCGAUCAACAGGAAGAUUCCAUAGUGGAUCGAAAUACCGUGGAUGACAUAAUCCAUCCAUGCAACGGACCCAUCGAUCGCGAAGAACACAGGCGACGGGAAGCGAGCCGAUUCUUUUAUGGCGUACUCGAUCCGAGAUUCAAAAGGGCAGCGAGCCACGAAUGCGAAUCGCGGUGUUGGUCGGUGUAUGGAAAAGGAAAUCGACCGGCGAUCGGGAUUUAUUAUUCAACACACGGAGCCCGGACGUUCCUUCCUUCUUGAAGCAUUCCACGAUAUACGAUACUCGAUGCCAGUCGAAGACAGCACCUCUUGCAAGCAUCGUGUGUCUGAGCGAAGAUCGACGGAAAUAGCGUGCACGACGUUCUCUCUUCCUGCAUCUACGUAAUCGUUGAUCAAAUUCGAAGAUUUCUUCGUAGCAGAAAAUGGAAUUCGGUAGCGAACAGCGUUCCUAUAGUUUGUCGGACAGUCUUCCGAGAAAAAUUUCCAUGGGGUUGAUACAGAGGAUCUUCGAAAGAAGAAAAUUGUGAAAAUCUUUGGUGACAGAAGACGCUUUUCUCUUCGUCGAAAGACCAACAAAUACGAUGAAACAAUGUGAAGAUAAAAAAAUGUAUGUUGCAUGUUUCCGGUGUGCAAGGAAGAAGUUAGGAAGAGAAGAAGAGAGAAGCUUCGUCACGGAGGCCUCACAAGCAACGAUACGUGGGUAAACUCGGAGAAGACGUAUUGCACGUGAGUAGAGGACGACAGGCAGAAUGUUGGUUGAGUGACGUAUGAUACGAGGAUGAAGUUACGCUGUGGCGAACGACGUGUCGCCGAUUUAUCGAGUUAAGUCGUCCCAAGGCUUAUCGGCUUUCGUGUUCCCGGCCACUUGUUUUUCGCCAUCCGUCGAAUAUUUGUGACAAUUCACGCUGUCUACCACUGUAUUUAUAGUAUGGUAUCGUGUCGCCAUGUAGCAGGUAACAUUUUUAUUUUUAUUCGAGUAGGUACGAUGAUGGAAAAGCGUGCAGGGUGAUUUAUGGAAGGUAGUCAGUGUUAAUUAGAAGGUUAAUGGAGAUCAUCCGAUAAAAGAGUUUAAGUUGAUGAUGGAUAUCGAUUGCUGGAAAUUACUUUACCUGAAUUUAACAUCGUUUCGGCAAUUCUUUUCUAUUUUUCAUGCCAGGCUACUCGAGACCAUUACAACAUUAUUUUCCCUGUCGCUUUAAGCUCUGUCUAUACAUUUUUUUCUACUAAUCCAUUUAUAGAAUUUUUAUACUUCAAUCUUCCUUCCAUUUUGGGGAAUAAAAGAGAAUUCUCAUGCUUUAAGAUGUUUAACGUAUAAUUGGGAGAGUCCAGGGAUCAAGCGAACAAAAAUGAAUAUAAAUUUCCUAAAAUAAAAUGAAGGAAAUGACAAAUAAACAAAUCUCAAACGAACUCUGAGA
Bombus pascuorum is the source of this 1860-nucleotide long non-coding RNA. RefSeq lists it as uncharacterized. The transcript is spliced from 3 exons. NCBI's taxonomy places the organism in Eukaryota, Metazoa, Arthropoda, Insecta, Hymenoptera, Apidae. The record is from RefSeq and is a predicted model, not a curated record.